This 253-nucleotide ribosomal RNA is filed under the name uncultured bacterium. RNAcentral's name for it is "partial 16S ribosomal RNA". It matches the Rfam family "Bacterial small subunit ribosomal RNA", at positions 524 to 776 of the family's 1533-position model. The record is from RNAcentral.
UACGAAGGGGGCUAGCGUUGUUCGGAAUCACUGGGCGUAAAGCGCACGUAGGCGGAUUUUUAAGUCAGGGGUGAAAUCCCGAGGCUCAACCUCGGAACUGCCUUUGAUACUGGAGAUCUUGAGUCCGGAAGAGGUAAGUGGAACUGCGAGUGUAGAGGUGAAAUUCGUAGAUAUUCGCAAGAACACCAGUGGCGAAGGCGGCUUACUGGUCCGGAACUGACGCUGAGGUGCGAAAGCCAGGGGAGCAAACGGG